AGCGAACGCUGGCGGCAGGCCUAACACAUGCAAGUCGAACGAACCUUUCGGGGUUAGUGGCGGACGGGUGAGUAACACGUGGGAACGUGCCUUUAGGUUCGGAAUAACUCAGGGAAACUUGUGCUAAUACCGAAUGUGCCCUUCGGGGGAAUGAUUAAUCGCCUUUAGAGCGGCCCGCGUCUGAUUAGCUAGUUGGUUGAGGUAAUGGCUCACCAAGGCGACGAUCAGUAGCUGGUCUGAGAGGAUGAUCAGCCACAUUGGGACUGAGACACGGCCCAAACUCCUACGGGAGGCAGCAGUGGGGAAUCUUGCGCAAUGGGCGAAAGCCUGACGCAGCCAUGCCGCGUGAAUGAUGAAGGUCUUAGGAUUGUAAAAUUCUUUCACCGGGGACGAUAAUGACGGUACCCGGAGAAGAAGCCCCGGCUAACUUCGCG
RNAcentral lists this ribosomal RNA (434 nucleotides) under uncultured bacterium. Its description in RNAcentral is "partial 16S ribosomal RNA". It matches the Rfam family "Bacterial small subunit ribosomal RNA", at positions 29 to 507 of the family's 1533-position model. The record is from RNAcentral.